Molecule: ribosomal RNA, 495 nt
Filed under: uncultured bacterium
Lineage: Bacteria
Description: partial 16S ribosomal RNA
Rfam family: Bacterial small subunit ribosomal RNA
Source: RNAcentral
GACGAACGCUGGCGGCGUGCCUAAUACAUGCAAGUAGGACGCUGAAGGAGGAGCUUGCUUCUCUGGAUGAGUUGCGAACGGGUGAGUAACGCGUAGGUAACCUGCCUGGUAGCGGGGGAUAACUAUUGGAAACGAUAGCUAAUACCGCAUAAUAGUAGAUGUUGCAUGACAUUUGCUUAAAAGGUGCAAUUGCAUCACUACCAGAUGGACCUGCGUUGUAUUAGCUAGUUGGUGGGGUAACGGCUCACCAAGGCGACGAUACAUAGCCGACCUGGGAGGGUGAUCGGCCACACUGGGACUGGGACACGGCCCAGACUCCUACGGGAGGCAGCAGUAGGGAAUCUUCGGCAAUGGACGGAAGUCUGACCGAGCAACGCCGCGUGAGUGAAGAAGGGUUUCGGAUCGUAAAGCUCUGUUGUAAGAGAAGAACGAGUGUGAGAGUGGAAAGUUCACACUGUGACGGUAUCUUACCAGAAAGGGACGGCUAACUACGUG